This 444-nucleotide ribosomal RNA is filed under the name uncultured Gammaproteobacteria bacterium. Its description in RNAcentral is "bacterial SSU rRNA". It matches the Rfam family "Bacterial small subunit ribosomal RNA", at positions 1088 to 1532 of the family's 1533-position model. The record is from RNAcentral. Lineage: Bacteria; Pseudomonadati; Pseudomonadota; Gammaproteobacteria.
CGCACGAGCGCACCCCUUAUCCUUAGUUGCCAGCACGUAAUGGUGGGAACUCUAAGGAGACUGCCGGUGACAAACCGGAGGAAGGUGGGGACGACGUCAAGUCAUCAUGGCCCUUACGAGAUGGGCUACACACGUGCUACAAUGGCAAGUACAAAGGGUUGCAAACUCGCGAGAGUAAGCGGAUCCCAUAAAGCUUGUCGUAGUCCGGAUUGGAGUCUGCAACUCGACUCCAUGAAGUCGGAAUCGCUAGUAAUCGUGGAUCAGAAUGCCACGGUGAAUACGUUCCCGGGCCUUGUACACACCGCCCGUCACACCAUGGGAGUGGGCUGCAAAAGAAGUGGAUAGCUUAACCUUCGGGAGGGCGUUCACCACUUUGUGGUUCAUGACUGGGGUGAAGUCGUAACAAGGUAGCCGUAGGGGAACCUGCGGCUGGAUCACCUCCUU